ACAUGACAGCCCGCUUGGAGUUUUCCAAAAGGCACCUAAAGGACUCUCAGACCAUGAGAAACAAGAUUCUCUGGUUUGAUGAAACCAAUAUUGAACUCUUUGGCCUGAAUGCCAAGCUUCAUGUCUGGAGGGAACCUAGCACCAUCCCUACGGUGAAGCAUUGUGGUGGCAGCAUCAUGUUGUGGGGAUGUUUUUCAGCGGCAGGGACUAGUCAGGAUCGAGGGAAAGAUGAACAGAGCAAAGUACAGAAAGAUCCUUGAGAAAAACCUGCUCCAGAGCGCUCAGGACCUCAGACUGGGCUGAAGGUUCACCUUCCAACAGGACAACGACCUGAAGCACACAGCCAAAACAACGCAGGAGUGGCUUCGGGACAGGUCUCUGAAUGUCAUUGAGUGGCCCAGCCAGAGAACGGACUUGAAUCCGAUCGAACGCUCCCCUUCCAACCUGACAGAGCUUGAGGAUCUGCAGGGAAGAAUGUGAGAAACUACCCAAAUACAGGUGCGUCAACCGUGUAACGUCAUACCCAAGAAGACUCGAGGAUAUCAUUGCUGCCAAAGGUGCUUCAACAAAUCAUUUUCAGCUCUUCAGGUCCUACUCACUGGAUGAGCAGAUCAAAGAACUGAUAGGACAGAAUUAAGAACUUGGUUCUUAGUCUGUGAGGGCACGCUUAAGAGGAGAGGGUCAGACAGUCUGAUCCUUGUCAACCCCCAGGGAGCUUCGAGGAGAGCCAUGCAGUAGCGGCUACACCGGACGCAGUUGCAUGGCACAAAUUCUUUGUGGCACAUCGAUGGCAACCAUAAGCUGAUCCGGCCUCUGACAACAACAAGAGUGCCACAGUUACGGAGUCAUUCCAAGCAGCCAUCACCAGCUACAGAGUACCAUCCUGGGUGAGAAGUAUCUGUGCCUUCAUGGAGCAGUUCAGGGGUGGUGAGAGGGGAAAUGCCCUCUCACUGCCCCAGCUUCAACCACCAUCACCUCUCAAGCCACCUCCACCUCAGCAAUGCCCCUGUGACAAUAAUUUUGGACCCCCUUUUGGCCCCCCUAAAUGUGGAGUAUGAAACACAUUUUUGCUAUCGUUCUUUUUUACAUCCGUUAUUAGACAGUGGCAACGAUGAUGAUUAUGAACAUGGUUUUUUGCCUGCUAAUGCCUGCAACGCGGUGAAGAAAGCGAUAUGACAACAAUAACGUCUAAUGUAACUGGCCCCACAGUACAACUGUUAGAGGGAUUCUCUGCCUCUAACCCUAUUACAGGGGCUGAGUCACUGGCUUACUGGUGUUCUUCCAUGCCGUCCCUAGGAGGGGUGCGUCACUUGAGUGGGUUGAGUCACUGACGUAGUCUUCCUGUCUGGGUUGGCGCCCCCCCUUGGGUUGUGCCGUGGCGGAGAUCUUUGUGGGCUAUACUCAGCAUUGUCUCAGAAUGGACCUGAGCCCUAAAACCAUGCCUCAGGACUACCUGGCAUGAUGACUCCUUGCUGUCCCCAGUCCACCUGGCCGUGCUGCUGCUCCAGUUUCAACUGUUCUGCCUGCGGCGAUGGAACCCUGACCUGUUCACCGGACGUGCUACCUGUCCCAGACCUGCUGUUUUCAACUCUCUAGAGACAGCAGGAGCGGUAGAGAUACUCUCAAAGAUCGGCUAUGAACAAGCCAACUUACUCUUGAGUUGCUGACUUGUUGCACCCUCAACAACUACUGUGAUUAUUAUUAUUUGACCAUGCUGGUCAUUUAUGAACAUUUGAACAUCUUGGCCAUGUUCUGUUAUAAUCAGCACCCCGGCACAGCCAGAAGAGGACUGGCCACCCCUCAUAGCCUAGUUCCUCUCUAGGUUUCUUCCUAGGUUUUGGCCUUUCUAGGGAGUUUUUCCUAGCCACCUACUUCUACACCUGCAUUGCUUGCUGUUUGGUGUUUUAGGCUGGGUUUCUGUACAGCACUUUGAGAUAUCAGCUGAUGUAAGAAGGGCUAUAUAAAUAAAUUUGAUUUGAACUGGCCCCAGUUGAAAUGGUCUAGAACCGCCACUGCUCAUUCCUACUCCAACCUGACUUACUACACCCCUGAUAUUCCCCUACAGGGACAAGGGAUCGGACACUAUAUCGUAAGUGCCACUCGUUCCUACUCCAACCUGACUUACUACACCCCUGAAACUCCCCUACUGGGACGAGGGAUUGGACGCUAUAUCUUCAGCGCCACCCGUUCCUUCGAGUCAGUUAAUUUUUAUAAUACUAUUUGAAAUGGUAACGACUCAUAUUUUUUUCAGUCCUUGAAUCAGUUAAUUUUUAUAACACCAAUAAUAACACCACCAAUUAGGAUGCCACCAUUAGUGAACUCUUCUUCAACCAGAGCUUUGGAAAACCCUCUCCUCCUUGCACAGAAACUGUUCCCGAGGAAACACUCCCCCGCAUUCACACACUGUAUGAUUUGGUCUCUAGAAAGGUACUACAGACAUGUUCAACCCUUAACAAAGAGUGUUAAGGUGUAUGGCCCCUCGGUGGGUUCAAUACAGUACCAGUCAAAAGUUUGUACACACCUGUACAUUAGACCGGUGGAAAUCUGUCCAAAUUUGAGAUUUUUGGUUCCAACUGCUGUGUCUUUGUUAGACGCAGAGUAGGUGAACGGAAGAUCUCUGCAUGUGUGGUUCCCACCGUGAAGCAUGGAGGAGGAGGUGUGGGGGUGCUUUGCUGGUGACACUCAGUGAUUUAUUUAGAAUUCAAGCAAAACUUAACCAGAAUGGCUACCGCAGCAUUCUGCAGCGAUACUCCAUCCCAUCUGGUUUGUGCUUAGCGAGACUCUAAUUAGUUUUUCAACAGGACAAUGACCCAACACACCUCCAGGCUGUGUAAGGGCCAUUUGAGUGCUGCAUCAGAUGACCUGGCCUACACAAUCACCUAACCUGGUUUGGAAUGAGUUGGACUGCAGAGUGAAGGAAAAGCCGCCCACAAGUGUGUUGAGGUUGGGGGGUUGUGGAGGCCAGGUCAUCUGAUGCAGCGCUCCAUCACUCUCCUUCUUGGCCAAAUAGCCAAAUAAUUAGGUAUGUUGGGUCAUUGUCCUGUUGAAAAACAAAUUAGAGUCCCACUAAGACUUUUUGAAGGUUAUUUUACUGAUUUAAUGAUCAUGGACUGUUUCCCUGUGUAUAUUAGGAUACAUUUUAUUACAUUUAAAUAAUGUUUCAGUAUCUUUAGUGUCACGUCCUGACCAUAGUAAGUUGUUAUUUUCUAUGGUAGAGUGGUCAGGGCGUGACAGGGGGUGUUUAUCUGUUUUUGUAUGUCUAUGUUCAGUUCUAGAUUUUGUAUUUCUAUGUUGGUCGUUGUUUGGCAUGACCUCCAAUUAGAGGCAGCUGGUUGUUGUUGUCUCUAAUUGGAGGCCAUAUUUAAGUUGAUGUUUGUCCCACCUGUCCUUGUGCGUGAUUAUAUAUUUUGAGUAGUGUGUUUUUUUCCUCUCUGCGUCACGGUUUGUUGUUUUUUUGUUAGUUAAAGUAUUUAUGUAUUGUUUCACGGUUAUAAUAAAUAUGUGGAACGAAAACGCUGCAUCUUGGUCCGCUCCUUAUCACAGCUGUGACAUUUAGAGUAUCCUGUGAGGCAGAUCAAAGUGCUCUAUAGUCAGGAGGAGAGCAGCUUCUUGAAGAUUUUGGGGGAAACAUUCCCCCAGAUGAAUCCAAAUGUAGAGGCCUUUAAGACAAGACAGGAGGAGGCUUGUUCCAGCUGCAAUCAAAUCAGCUGGGCUAGGGAGGUCUGCCCUGUACUUAAGAUUGAAGGAAACAAAGGGAGGAGACAACCUCGGAGGCAGAGACUCUGCCUAUGGCGUUAGGCCUCCCUGUUGACUCUCGACAAGCUUCAGUGACACUAGAGUCUCUAGAGGAAACAUUGGAGAUACGGCGUCUUAGUCUUCAAGACCAUCUCUCUCUGGCUGCAGAACAGGAGAAAGAGAUGGAACGUUGUCGUUUUGAGAAGUGGGAGAGCAGGCGGGGGAAGUUGAUAGAGGAGACAAGACCGCAGGUUGUCUCUCAUCCAGAGCUGCCCUUUAAGAUCAAAUACCCGGAUGGGAGGAAGCGGAUUAGGAGAUUUCAGCUCUCUGAAUCCAUUCAGCCUCCAGGCAGCAGUGGGAUUCGCAACCCUGAAGAGCACGAUUAACGGGUCAUUGGAGGAACAUGACAUUCGGGAGUCCACAACACUGUAUGUGUUCUGGUUGUCUGUGGAGGAUGUGCAGGCACUUCAUGAGGGACAUCAGGGACUCGGCCAUCUUCGAGGGUCCGGAAGGAGUGAAACGACUGUCCCUUGAUGUCAUGCAACCAGUGAUCUGGGUCAACAGAAUCAAUGGGAUCAACUUUU
RNAcentral lists this long non-coding RNA (4319 nucleotides) under Salmo salar (Atlantic salmon). Its description in RNAcentral is "lncRNA (ENSSSAG00000107048.1)". Lineage: Eukaryota; Metazoa; Chordata; Actinopteri; Salmoniformes; Salmonidae. The record is from RNAcentral.